Megalops atlanticus (tarpon) is the source of this 72-nucleotide non-coding RNA. NCBI's taxonomy places the organism in Eukaryota, Metazoa, Chordata, Actinopteri, Elopiformes, Megalopidae. The record is from the annotation of a GenBank genome assembly.
GGCAGUGUAGCAUAGUGGUAAGGAGUAAGGCUUAUAACCAAAAGGCUGUUGGUUCAAUCCCCACUGGAGCAC